Long non-coding RNA from Procambarus clarkii (red swamp crayfish), 1087 nucleotides. RefSeq lists it as uncharacterized. The record is from RefSeq and is a predicted model, not a curated record. Lineage: Eukaryota; Metazoa; Arthropoda; Malacostraca; Decapoda; Cambaridae.
AACAGUGACCAUCCAAUGUCGCCAUCUUCCUCUCUAGCUUGGGACAGUAGUCCCGGUGACGCCAGCCUGUGCCCACUACACCUGCCCUCCUCACCUCCCACAAACAUCCGUCAUAAACAAGGCUAAAUUCUCUCCUCUAAUUGUGCCCUCCAGAUCGUCGACGUGAUGGUGGUGCCGCUGACCACCGGGGAGACCAUCACUGUGAUAAUCAUAGCACUGGUGGGCGUUCUUCUCACUAUCGGCUGCUACCUCUAUUGGCGCUUACGAAAGAGUGUGCCGACCAACAGUUUCAACUCCAGUUUCUUCAAGUUUGAGAGCUCGGUCUUGAGGUAGACGGGUGAUGUAUGCUACAUCUUGGAGAUGAAAGUCCAUCAGCGGUUUGCAACUGAACGCCGUCAUCUUAAAGAGUACGCAAAGACAUGAGGUCAUCUUCUGAGUGACUUUGAUCACUGUGGGGUCUCCAGAUCAAAUGAAUUUCGGGAAACUCCACACAUUAACUAGAGUGUAUCAGACUUGAUGAUUACCUUGAACCUUUCAACGUCAAAGUUGUCAGUAAAUAUCAAUAUAAUAUGUUAAUUUAAAUUGUAUCAUUCCUCAGCGUGUGUUUUUUUUUCUCUCUGAAUAAGAUGCCUUAAAUGUUGAUAUAAUAUACAUUUAGAAGGUGUGUGUAUAGGAGGAUAAUGGGUUCGUUUGGAAAUAUUACGCUCGUAUCUAUAUAUUUUAUUUAUGUAUAAAUUUUAAUCUGUAAUUUUUUUCAAUUUCAGUUAAAUUUCAGUUAAUUGAAUUUUUUUCUGUUAAUUUCAGUUAAUUGAUUUUUUUUCUGUAAGUAGUUUAUAUUAUGUUUUUAGAGAAAUAUUGAUGUGCAUACUGUAGUAAACAUGAUAACAUUAUGAAUAAUAACAAUGAUAACAUUAUGAAUAAUAACAAUGAUAACAUUAUGAAUAAUAACAAUAAUUAUAUAAAUGGAUGAACAAUUAUAAGUAUACAGAUAAAUAUUACUUGAUACCUCGUGCAAUAAAUAAAAUUAUGGAUAAAUAGAAAUCUGGUUAAAAUAAAUAAUAAAGCCAUCUGGUCAAGAACUUAUGUU